This 27-nucleotide non-coding RNA is filed under the name Mus musculus (house mouse). The record is from RNAcentral. Lineage: Eukaryota; Metazoa; Chordata; Mammalia; Rodentia; Muridae.
UUGGAAACGCUCAGGUUCUUCUGGACC